This 1777-nucleotide long non-coding RNA is filed under the name Homo sapiens (human). Its description in RNAcentral is "SIGLEC10 antisense RNA 1, transcript variant 2 (SIGLEC10-AS1)". Lineage: Eukaryota; Metazoa; Chordata; Mammalia; Primates; Hominidae. The record is from RNAcentral.
GGGCAGAAUCACCCACUGAGUCCCAGACACAAACUGCAUGAGGGUCUACACAGGUAAGAAGGUCGGUCUCCGAGGCCUGGGGCUCCAGGCCCCCUCAGCUCUGGGACCCUGAGCCCAGCCCCUGUAUCCCUCUGCCCUCCCAAUGGACUCCAGGCCCCUGCUGGGCACACUCACACUGCACAGAGAGGUCCAGGGCUCGCUGCUGGGAGCCAAGCCUGUUCUCCGCUCGGCAGGUGUAGCGCCCUGAAUCCCCAGCCUUCACCCCGGGCAGCUCCAGCCCCAGGGGUCUAGGGCCCCAGGGAUGGGACGAGGAGAGGACUCUGUUCUGCAGGACCCAGCUCAGUGUGGCAGGGGGCUGGCUGUCAGCAGCACAGAGGAGCCGCAGGAACUGGCCUUUUUGGGCUUCCAGGGAAAAGAAAGUGGGACUAUCCCGGGAAGACAAGUGACAACCAGCGCCAGGGCUCACGUGUGUGGACCAGACGCCAUUCCCAUCCCCCUCCCAGGGCUGCGGCGGCAUCCUGGGACCCCACAGCUUCCUCUCCCUGGAUGCUCCUGAGCUGGGAGCCGCUCACUGUCCCACUGGGCUCCUCCACCUCCCCACCCACCGGGGCUGUCUGCACACCCCACCCUCCCAGGCCACACUCACAGGCCACACGGAGUCGGACGGUCCUCUGUGCGCUCACACCCUUUCUGGAGAAGUCCACAUGGCAGCUUCCUCUCUCCACCCGAAAGAAGUACUGUGACUCAUCCUGCAUCUGCGCGUCUCUGAUCACCAAGGAGCAGUUCCCCUUGGCGGGAUCCCCAGUGAGCUGGAAUCGGCCCCGGGUGCUCAUUUCCACCUCUCGACUCUGGUGGUUUGUGGCCACAGGAGCACCCUUGGUUGUCUCAGUCACUGCUUUGAACCAGUAGCCAUAAGCUGGGGUAGACCCUGUCCAGUCCUGUCGGGGGUAGGAGAAAGAGCAGGGCACAGAGAUGCACAGGCCCUCCGGCACCAUCACUGACUCCUGCACUCGUAUCCAGAAUCUCCCAUCCAUAGCCUGGGACCCUGUGGGGAGACAGAGGCUCAACCUGCAACCCCAGCCCUAGCUCCGCCCCAGGUCCUUUCCGGCCCUUGGCCCACUCACCGCCCAGCAGCGAGGACAGCAGCAGUGGCAGUAGCAUCUCCGCAUAGGAGGCGCAGGGCCUGCCUGAGACAGGCCUGUUCUCUGGUCGUGCUGUGAGUGGCUCAGGGCUCUUGGCAGAAGGGGAAGCCGAAGGCGGAAGCUGAGCCCUGGGGCCUGAUGCAUGAAAUGAGCUUCAGACGCUGAGCUCACAGAACUCCUUUGCCUUCCCCCACACUCUCCGGCCCACCUUGCCCAGUUGUCCUCUGGGUCUCCUGGGGGCCCAGCCUGGCCUUGGGCUUGUUGAGCUGGUCCUUCCAGAGCUCCCUGUGUAGGAGGAGAGGGCAGGCUUGUGUCUAUCCUGGGGGCCUGGCUGGGGGUGGGGUAGUGGGGUGGGGGCUCUCCCUCUGGGCCCUGGGUCAUCGGAAAAGCAGAAGUGAGAAGUCCACAGUGAGCUACCCUUAUCUGGGCCACUGGUGGUGGAGGUGGUGGGUACAGGGGAAGGGACCGUUACUGGAGGGGGCUGGUCUUGUCAGGUAAAAUGCAGGAUGCCUGGUUAAAGCUUUCACAGACAAUAUAAAGUAUUUUAUUUUAUGUUUUUUGGUAUAAGUAUGUCCGAAAUGCUGCAUGGGAUAUACUUAUACCAGAAAGCAAAAUAAAUUUAUCUGAAAUUCAAA